Microcebus murinus (gray mouse lemur) is the source of this 1633-nucleotide non-coding RNA. Lineage: Eukaryota; Metazoa; Chordata; Mammalia; Primates; Cheirogaleidae. The record is from RefSeq and is a predicted model, not a curated record.
CCAAUAUUCCAAGGAUAAGAAACCACAGAAAACCAGGAGGCAGAACUGAAGAGCAAAGAGAACUCCUUGGCAACAUAAAAAGCUUGAAGCCAGUUUAGAAAGCAGAAUGAGAUUCCCAUGGCUCAGGAAGCUGAAGAUUGUUUGUACAAAAAGGUCUGGCGCUGUUGAAGAUGAGAAACACAGUGACUUGGAUUUGAAGAUACAACCUAGCCUAUAGCUAUAACCGAACUUUGACUUAUACAUAUGCAACUGGGUAGUCACCUACAGACUUCAAGGGACUAUCUAAAGGCACUUGCACAUGGAGUUCCUACCUUUCAUAAAUAUGCUGUUCCAUCAUUGAAGGGUAUGUCCUUUGAGCUAAAGCAGCAAGCCGUCAGUAAUCAUAGCUAACACAUGAAUUAUUCUGAAAAAGUAACACAUUACCUUAAAUUAGGUACUCCAGAAGCAGACCCUGCGUCAAGGAUUAUGUGGAAGAGAUGUCUGUACCUCCAGGGCCUAUCAGGAGAGAAGAAGGAAGAAGCCACGCAAGGUCCACCUUGAUUCUACAGGUGGAGAUCCUUGAAUCCUGAAAAAUAUUCUUGGAGCUGUAGACACAACUUAUAUGAUGCACAGUAUAUUUACAUCUCAGUGAAGCUAUAAGUAAAACAUGGUAUGAGAUAAAGAAACUAUGGAAGCUAUUGAUGGAAAGAAAACCUGGUCAAAUAAAUAACUUAAUUUUGCAAAAUAGAGGAAGCUUGAUGUAUACUGCCAUGUCCCAACAUUUACAUAGGUAUAUUCAGAGGGAGUCACAGGACCAGAGCUGGACACUCCUAACAUCUGUUAGAAGAGGGCAGCUUUCAAUUCCCAUCUUUUUCUCUGGGGGGCCUGAUUGCCCGUCUGCCCUGCUAUCUCUCCACUUUCCACCUUUCCCCAACUGCUGAGUGCUUCUUCUGCAGGAUCACAAAAAGCAAAAACGUCACCUGCUUCUCCUCCCAACAGCUGAAUUAUUCUUCCAUGCUUUUAUUUUGAGAGCAAAGUGGUUCAAGGUAUGUUUGAGGGUUGUGGAAACCCUCAAAGGGAUUACAGAAUGAAAAAGUUUUGAGAACCAUGCUCUAAAUAAAGAAUUGGAGAUGAAAACCUGUCAUAAUGAAAAAUUAAACUAAACCGCCUCAAAUAAAGCAAAAGAGCAACUCAUACCUUGGCAUGCAAGGAAAGGAAUUCAUAUAAUGUGGGACCGGUAAUGAGGCAGUUUCUUGCCAACGUCCAAGCCUCUUUCUACCUGCCAUGUGCUAAGGAAAUACAAGUGGAGAAUUUACAGCAAUGCAAUAAUAACAUGCAAAAUCUGAAAAUAGAAGCCUGAGUCAGAGUUUAUUCCUAAAUUUGAAAUUUACUAUCAGCAACUUCUACCAGCCUACAUAAACCUAUGUGAAUGAAUGAGUAUGAUAAGCUCAGUAGACUAGGAAGCCAGGCCUCCUUAUUGUGAGGUCCUUGAAGUUUACAGUUUUUAAAUAAUUAAUAUAGGAUGAUAAUCAAGAGACCAGGACAAAACCACUGUCACUUAUUAGUUAUGUGAUCUUGGGAAGGUCAGUCAUUCUUUAUAAGCAUUAGUUGAUUUAUUAACUAAAGAUAUUAAUACCUACAUUGGAGAGAUGUG